GACGAACGCUGGCGGCGUGCUUAACACAUGCCAGUCGAACGAUGAAGAGGAGAAACGCGAACUUCGGUUCAAAUUUCACUUCGGAUUAGUGGCAGACGGGUGAGUAACGCGUGAGCAACCUACCUCUUACAAAGGGAUAGCCUCGGGAAACCGUGAUUAAUACCAUAUGACACAUUCAUAAGGCAUCUUAAGAAUGUUAAAGCUACGGCGGUAAGAGAUGGGCUCGCGUCCCAUUAGCUAGUUGGUGAGGUAACGGCCCACCAAGGCGACGAUGGGUAACCGGCCUGAGAGGGUGAACGGUCACAUUGGAACUGAGACACGGUCCAAACUCCUACGGGAGGCAGCAGUGGGGAAUAUUGCACAAUGGAGGGAACUCUGAUGCAGCGACGCCGCGUGAGCGAUGAAGGAAUUCGUUUCGUAAAGCUCUGUUCUAUGGGAAGAAAAGGACUGUACCAUAGGAGAAAGCCCCGGCUAAAUACGUG
This 482-nucleotide ribosomal RNA is filed under the name uncultured bacterium. RNAcentral describes it as "partial 16S ribosomal RNA". It matches the Rfam family "Bacterial small subunit ribosomal RNA", at positions 28 to 507 of the family's 1533-position model. The record is from RNAcentral.